Molecule: ribosomal RNA, 442 nt
Filed under: uncultured Rickettsiales bacterium
Lineage: Bacteria; Pseudomonadati; Pseudomonadota; Alphaproteobacteria; Rickettsiales
Description: bacterial SSU rRNA
Rfam family: Bacterial small subunit ribosomal RNA
Source: RNAcentral
UCCUACGGGGGGCAGCAGUGAGGAAUAUUGGACAAUGGGCGAAAGCCUGAUCCAGCAAUGCCGCGUGAGUGAUGAAGGCCUUCGGGUUGUAAAGCUCUUUCAGUGGGGAAGAUAAUGACGGUACCCACAGAAGAAGCCCCGGCUAACUUCGUGCCAGCAGCCGCGGUAAUACGAAGGGGGCAAGCGUUACUCGGAAUUAUUGGGCGUAAAGAGUGCGUAGGCGGUUUUGUAAGUCAGGAAUGAAAUCCUUAAGCUCAACUUAAGGGCUGUUUCUGAAACUGCAAGGCUUGAAUAUCGGAGGGGAUAGCGGAAUUCCUAGUGUAGGGGUGGAAUCCGUAGAUAUUAGGAGGAACACCGGAGGCGAAAGCGGCUAUCUGGACGAUUAUUGACGCUGUUGCACGAAAGCGUGGGGAGCAAACAGGAUUAGAUACCCGGGUAGUCC